Molecule: long non-coding RNA, 647 nt
Filed under: Ursus americanus (American black bear)
Lineage: Eukaryota; Metazoa; Chordata; Mammalia; Carnivora; Ursidae
Description: lncRNA (ENSUAMG00000000236.1)
Source: RNAcentral
UGUAAUUUAAUAUGAAUCAGAGACUUGAGUGACUAGUCGUUUUGGUCUUCACAUGUUUUAAGUGUACUGAAAAUAGAGCUGUUCGUGCACUAAACAAAAGGCAAACUGUUUUCAUAAACUUUUCUUUUUUAGUAUGUCAUUGAAAGUGCCCGACAGAGACCUCCUAAAAGGAAAUACCUGUCUAGUGGAAGAAAAUCUGUAUUUCAAAAACUUUAUGACUUAUAUAUUGAAGAAUGUGAAAAAGAGCCUGAGGUUAAGGUAAGUAUAAAUUUUUUAUGUUAUUAUUGCUUUUGAAAUGUGGAGGAAGAGGGACAUUUGAAGGAGUUAAAUUUGAAGCAGACAAUGAUUUAUAUUUUUGUGAAUGAGCUAACAUCUUUUCCAGCCAGACUAGCCAGUUCUGCAGCUGACCCAUAAUCUUGGCUAAUCUUUCACUGGGUGGAGUUGACCUGCCUAGGUAAGAGAGGUGAACAGUGUUUGCCAAAUAACGGAAAAUGUUUCCUUGAGAAGCCCAAAGAAGCAUAGUCACCGAAUAUGUUAUCUUUUGCUCCUAUUUUCUCAUGAUGAUUUGUACUGGAAAGUUAAAGCUAUUAUAAGGACAUGUAGGAAAUUCAGGUGUGAUAAUAAAAGAUGAACUUGGUCAUGGGGCA